AUGCCAUUUGCACUGUUCAACAAUCACUUCCAGAGCAUUAUUUUUGGAGGUGUCAUGUUGCGGGAUGAAAAGGAGGAUACAUUCAAGUGGGUUUUCCGUGAAUUCAUCAGGAUGGUUGGCGGCAAACACCCGCAAACAAUUUUAACCGAUCAGGCGCGAUCAAUGGAAUUGGCUAUAGAAGCAGAAAUGCCUAACACAACUCACAGGUGGUGUAAAUGGCAUGUGCUGAAGAAAGCAAAGGAAUCAAUGGGGGCUUUGUGGAGCAAGAAGUAUGAUUUCAAGAGUGAAUUCCACAAGCUGGUGCAUCACAUGGUCACAGAACAAGAGUUCGAAGAUGGCUGGUCUGCAAUGCUUGACAAAUAUUCACUUAGAAAGCAUCCAUAUCUGACUCAAAUAUAUGAGGUGCGGCAUAAAUGGGCAAAGCCGUAUUUCAGAGGUGUUUUUUGCGCGAAAAUGACCAGCACUCAACGUAGUGAAAGUGCCAAUCACAUGCUUAAGAGUUAUGUCCCACCCGGGUGCCCAAUGCAUUUGUUCAUUAAACAAUACGAGAAGGUUCAGUUCGAUAGGGACUCUGAGGAGAGUUUCUAG
RNAcentral lists this ribosomal RNA (588 nucleotides) under Triticum aestivum (bread wheat). RNAcentral describes it as "partial small subunit ribosomal RNA". Lineage: Eukaryota; Viridiplantae; Streptophyta; Magnoliopsida; Poales; Poaceae. The record is from RNAcentral.